CCAGACUCCUACGGGAGGCAGCAGUGAGGAAUAUUGGUCAAUGGGCGCGAGCCUGAACCAGCCAAGUCGCGUGAGGGAUGACGGUCCUACGGAUUGUAAACCUCUUUUGCCGGGGAGCAACGGGGUCCUUGCGAGGGCCCGAUGAGAGUACCCGGAGAAAAAGCAUCGGCUAACUCCGUGCCAGCAGCCGCGGUAAUACGGAGGAUGCGAGCGUUAUCCGGAUUUAUUGGGUUUAAAGGGUGCGUAGGCGGCUUUUUAGGCCGGGGCUAAAGUGCGGGGCCCCCCCCCCGCCCCGCCGUUGAAACUGGCAGUCUCGAGUUGGAGAGAAGUAUGCGGAAUGCGCGGUGUAGCGGUGAAAUGCAUAGAUAUCGCGCAGAACUCCGAUUGCGAAGGCAGCAUGCCGGCGCCACACUGACGCUGAGGCACGAAAGCGUGGGUAUCGAACAGGAUUAGAUACCCGGGUAGC
RNAcentral lists this ribosomal RNA (466 nucleotides) under uncultured bacterium. RNAcentral's name for it is "bacterial SSU rRNA". It matches the Rfam family "Bacterial small subunit ribosomal RNA", at positions 331 to 794 of the family's 1533-position model. The record is from RNAcentral.